This 22-nucleotide non-coding RNA is filed under the name Arabidopsis thaliana (thale cress). Lineage: Eukaryota; Viridiplantae; Streptophyta; Magnoliopsida; Brassicales; Brassicaceae. The record is from RNAcentral.
GGCUGCUUUGUUGAGCCGUCAC